Long non-coding RNA from Bombyx mori (domestic silkworm), 685 nucleotides. RefSeq lists it as uncharacterized. The transcript has 2 exons. Lineage: Eukaryota; Metazoa; Arthropoda; Insecta; Lepidoptera; Bombycidae. The record is from RefSeq and is a predicted model, not a curated record.
CGAAAUUAAUAUUUUUUUAUAUUCUAUAUACUAAACUUCAUUAGUUAGACAAUUAAGAAGUGAAUUUUUUAUGGAAUAUAAUAAAUAAUACGGUAUAAUGCUGAUCAAAAAAUAAUUCAAUUCCUCAUUUUUAUCAUUCAACAUUUAACUUGCCAGCUAUACAAUGCCAAAAAAUCUAGUGAUGUAGAUGAUGGAAGGUUCCAGCUAUUCGUUAGCAACUAUAAAUAUUCAGACAUCAAUGAAAAUUAUAGAAAAAAAAAUCAAAAAUUUGAGGCAAGCUCAAUACCACCGCAUAAGAGUGAGCUUUAUCAACAACUUUUGAGGGCCCACUAUAUUUCUUCUAUUUGGAGAAAUGCUUACAAAAAGCAACUGACAACUUUAGACCCAUUGGAGUAUGGUUGGAUUGAGCAGGACAACAUAUAUGCCUUCAAAGGGUUCGAAGGUGACCAACUUCCAUAUUUUGUGAGUGACUUAAUCACCAAUGUUCCUGUAUUCGAUUCAAUGGUUGAUGAAGACGAGUCGCCUAACGAUAAAGAUGACUCGGAUGAUGAUGAUGAUGAAUGAAGAUUGAUAUAUAUAUAUAAUAUGUAAUGCAUGCAUGAUAUAUUUUUUUAACUGAUUUAACACUUUUAAAUUUUGUCUUGACGAAAUAAAAAUGAGGAAUUGAAUUCUUUUUUGAUCAGCA